This 293-nucleotide long non-coding RNA is filed under the name Populus trichocarpa (black cottonwood). RNAcentral's name for it is "long non-coding RNA (PTRI_LNC003311)". Lineage: Eukaryota; Viridiplantae; Streptophyta; Magnoliopsida; Malpighiales; Salicaceae. The record is from RNAcentral.
CUUCCAAAAUGUCCGUAUGCGGCUGUCUUCAAGAACCUAUUGCCACCCCUCUUGAGAUCCAGGUUGAUGGUCAUCAUUCCAGGCCUAAAGUCAAAGUUCUCCUUCACAAUCUUAAGGAUCUCCUUGUCAGGAAUUUUUCCAGUGCCAUAGGUGUCCACAAAGACAGACAAAGGCUCGGGUACACCAAUAGCAUAGGAGACUUGCACAAUGCACCUACGAGCAAGACCAUUUGCUACGAUGCUCUUGGCAGCCUGCCUAACAAUGUAAGCACCACUUCUAUCCACCUUAGUUGG